RNAcentral lists this long non-coding RNA (5669 nucleotides) under Populus trichocarpa (black cottonwood). Its description in RNAcentral is "long non-coding RNA (PTRI_LNC004070)". The record is from RNAcentral. Lineage: Eukaryota; Viridiplantae; Streptophyta; Magnoliopsida; Malpighiales; Salicaceae.
GAAUUGUCUGUGAUUUCCAUGUUUUUUUAUGGCGGGCAGGAGUCAAGGAAAACGGCUUCUGCUGAUCCAAUGUAGACAAAGAUGUUAGUUAGUGGAGACAAACAAUGUCCCACCAUAUGCAAGUGGGAAUACCUAAUCUCCCACUUGGCACAUGGUGGAGGACACAAAGUGGAGGCAACGGUGGGCAUCAAUCAUGCCCCUUCAAUCAUCAAUUGUAUAUGUAUAGCUGUGUGUGUAUGAAGAACAUAGAGAGAGUAGCGUGAGAAACACAGAGAGAAGAGAGAACAGAGAAGAAUAGAGAGAGCUUGAGAGAGUAGAGUUGAGUUGAGAGAGUUUUAUCUCCUCCUCCUUUGUUUGUAUUGUUUGUAAGCUUCAUUAAUACAAACCAGUAGCUCCGUGGAGUAGGCAAGUUGCCGAACCACGUAAAUUGUGUGUGAUUGAGUUCUGGAAUUAUCCCAACAACUGGUAUCAGAGCUUGUUCUUGACAAAGAGGGUGUUUGAUCCAAACUCAAAAAUCAAAGUUCUCCAAACGUGUUUUUGAACAUACCAUCGUGUAGAGGACAACCGGACGAAUCCACUGUUUCAAACCCGGCGAAGAACCGACGUCCUGCAUGCCCGAACGCGCCAACACGCGCCGACGCCCAGACUGCCCACGCGCACCAACGCGCCGUACGCGCGCCACGCUCCAUCUUCGCCCGGCUUCUGCAAAACGGGUCGGGCUAACCCGCCACGUCAUCACAGCCGUACGGUCCACGUCCGCGUUACCUGCCACGUCACCUGACACGUCAUCUAUGAGUUUUGUUCCGAUGUGUCGCAGAAGCUGAUAUUCUGACACGUGGCUACAUCACAACCGUUGAGGGGUUUUGAUCCAGUACGACGCAGGAUCCAAUCAGUUGACACGUGGUUAAAUCAGGACCACUAUUGAGUAUUGAUCCAGUGUGACUCAGGCCAUCAUCUGCUGACACGUGGCUUCAUCAUAACCGUUACUGAGUUUUGAUACGGUGUGACGCAGGACCUAAUCUGCGGACACGUGGCUUCAUCAGAACCGCUACUGAGGUUUUGAUCCGGUGCGACGCAGGCGGUACUCUGGUUGACACGCGGCUGCAUCUGCACCGUCCGUUAAUUCAAAACGUUGAUUGCUAAAAUCUGAGCCAUCCGAAGUCCGAUUGGGGUGAUCUCAGUGUCAUUUCCAAGGUUUUCGGCUGUUCCGGACACAUCUGUAAGGUCAGAUUUGGGAAAUUCAAAUCGGAGAAGUAGUAAAAAUGGCAGAUGAAAUAAAAGCAGCUGGAAUUGAAAAAUUUGACGGGACAGAUUUUGGAUACUGGAAAAUGCAAAUUGAGGAUUAUCUAUAUGGGAAGAAACUUCAUCUUCCCUUGUUGGGGAGUAAACCAGAAAAUAUGCAAGAAGAAGAUUGGCUACUUCUUGAUAGACAAGUUCUGGGCAUUGUCCGGUUAUCCUUAUCAAGAAGAGUUGCUCACAAUGUUACGAAAGAAAGAUCCACUGCAAGAUUGAUGGAAGCCUUGUCUGGGAUGUAUGAGAAGCCAUCAGCAAAUAAUAAAGUGCACCUGAUGAAAAAGUUGUUCAACUUGAAGAUGGUCGAAAACACUUCUGUGACACAACACCUCAAUAACUUUAAUACCAUCACAAAUCAAUUAUCAUCUGUUGAGAUUGAGUUUGAUGAUGAGAUUCGUGCACUCAUCUUGCUAGCUUCACUUCCAAGCAGUUGGGAAGGCAUGAGGACAGCCGUGAGCAAUUCAGCUGGAAAAUCCAAACUGAAGUAUGAUGACAUUCGAGACUUGAUUUUGGCUGAAGAAGUGCGAAGGAAAGACUCGGGUGAAAGUUCAAGCUCAGGAUCAGCUCUCAACAUCAACACUCGAGGGAGGAGACAUGAUAGAGGCUUAUCCAGAGGCAGAUCAAAAUCAAGAUAUAGAAGUAAAAGCAAGUUUGGACCCAGAAAGCAGGUUGAAUGUUGGAAUUGUGGCAAACCUGGUCAUUUCAUGAGGAAUUGCACAAAACCGAAAAAACCUGAAGCUGACUCUGCAAACGCUACCACAAAUGAGGUGCAAGAUGCUUUGAUUCUUGCUGUGCAUAGUCCUGUUGAUGAUUGGGUUCUUGAUUCUGGUGCUUCAUUUCACUGUACACCACACCAUGAAAUGAUGCAAAACUAUAUUGCUGGAGAUCACGGUGUAGUCUAUCUGGCCGAUGGACAACCAUUGGAUAUUGUGGGUUUAGGAGAUGUACAAAUCAAGACAAUGAAUGGAUCUAUAUGGACCUUGCAAAAUGUAAGGCAUGUUCCUGAUCUAAAGAAGAAGCUGAUCUCGGUCGGACAACUUGAUGAUAGUGGUCAUUCAAUCCUUUUUUCUGGAGGUAUGUGGAAGGUAUCAAAGGGAGCAAUGGUUUUGGCUCGUGGAAAGAAAACCGGCACCCUGUAUAUGACCACAAGAUUUGCAGACAUUAUUGCCUCUACUGAAGCAGAAAAUCAAGCACAUCUAUGGCACUGUAGACUCGGCCAUAUGAGUCAAAAGGGGAUGAAGGUACUUCAAUCGAAGGGAAAGCUGCCAGAGCUUAAAAAUGUUGAUCUCGACAUUUGUGAAAGCUGUGUUCUUGGAAAACAGAAGAAGCUCAGUUUCUUAAAGGUUGGCAGGACCUUAAGACCAAGAAAGCUAGAGCUGGUACACACAGAUUUAUGGGGACCGUCUCCAGUAGCAUCUCUUGGAGGUUCUCGGUAUUACGUGACUUUCAUUGAUGAUUUCAGCAGGAAGGUAUGGGUUUACUUUCUGAAAAAUAAAUCUGAUGUGUUUGAAACAUUCAAGAAAUGGAAGGCUAUGGUUGAGACUGAAUCAGGUCUAAAGUUGAAAUGCUUAAGAUCUGAUAAUGGAGGAGAAUACAUUGAUGGAGGUUUCAAGGAGUAUUGUGCUGUCAAUGGUAUCAGAAUGGAAAAGACCGUUCCAGGCACACCGCAACAGAAUGGCGUUGCUGAACGGAUGAACAGGACCAUCAAUGAACGAGCUAGAAGCAUGAGGUUGCAUUCAGGGUUACCUCAAACAUUCUGGGCCGACGCAGUUCAUACCGCAGUUUACUUGAUCAACCGUGGACCAUCAGUUCCUUUGGAGUUCAGACUGCCCGAGGAAGUAUGGAGAGGAAAAGAGGUACAACUCUUUCAUUUAAAGGUCUUUGGGUGUGUUUCCUAUGUUCAUAUAGAUUCUGAUGCUCGCAACAAGUUGGAUGCCAAAUCCAAGAAAUGUUUCUUCAUCGGCUAUGGAGAUGAAGAAUUUGGCUUUCGGUUCUGGGAUGAUCAGAAUAGAAAGAUUAUCAGAAGCAGGAACGUGAUCUUCAAUGAGAAAGUUCUGUACAAAGACAGAUCAAGUGCAGAAACAGAUAAGGCUGAUUCAGAUACAAGGCCACAAGGAUCUGAAUUCAUAAGAUUAGAAGGCCUUCCCGAUGUUACUGAGCAGAACAACAAUCAAGAGUCUUUACAAGAAGACUCAAGCAUAUCUGUACCCGCUACUACACAAGAAGAUGCGGAGCAAAUUGAACCAGCUGUUCGCAGGUCUUCGAGGACGAUAAAGCCCCCGCAACGGUUCACACUUUUACUGAAUUACAUUUUGUUGACAGAUGGUGGUGAACCGCUAACUUAUGAAGAAUCCUUACAAGAUGGAAACUCAAGCAAGUGGGAGUUAGCCAUGAAGGAUGAGAUGAGUUCGUUGCUGAAGAACAAGACUUGGGAGCUAACCACACUGCCUGAAGGAAAGAAGGCUUUACAAAACAAGUGGGUUUACAGAGUGAAGACUGAGCAUGACGGAAGUAAACGGUUCAAGGCAAGACUUGUUGUCAAAGGGUUUCAACAAAAGAAAGGCAUUGACUACUCUGAGAUAUUUUCUCCAGUUGUGAAGCUCACAACAAUCAGAGUUGUUCUGGGGAUAGUAGCUGCAGAAAAUUUACAUCUUGAACAGUUAGAUGUAAAAACAGCAUUCCUUCAUGGUGACUUGGAGGAAGAUAUUUAUAUGCAACAGCCAGAGGGGUUUGCAAUGCAAGGAAAGGAGAAUCAAGUCUGCAAGCUACAGAAAAGCCUAUACGGUUUGAAGCAAGCUCCAAGACAGUGGUACAAGAAGUUUGACAACUUCAUGUGCAGUUCCGGAUAUACAAGAUGCCAAGCUGAUCAUUGUUGCUAUGUCAAACAUUUUGACAACUCCUACAUCAUUCUACUAUUAUAUGUAGAUGAUAUGUUGAUUGCAGGAUCCAGCAUUGAGGAGAUUGAUAAGCUGAAACAGCAGUUGUCAAAACAGUUUGAAAUGAAGGAUCUGGGAGCUGCUAAACAAAUACUUGGCAUGAGAAUCUUCAGAGAUAAAGACAAAGGCGUACUAAAGCUUUCACAAACAGAGUAUGUCAAGAAGGUUCUCAGCAGGUUUAGUAUGGAUAAUACUAAACCAGUAAGUACACCACUGGGGAAUCAUUUCAAGCUCAGCAAAGAUCAGUCACCAAAAACUGAGCAAGAAUGUGGAUACAUGGAUAAGAUUCCAUACGCCUCAGCUAUCGGCUCUUUGAUGUAUGCUAUGGUCUGUACCAGACCAGACAUUGCCCAUGCAGUGGGAGUUGUAAGCCGAUAUAUGAGCAAUCCUGGAAAGCAGCAUUGGGAGGCGGUCAAAUGGAUCAUGAGGUACUUAAAAGGUUCCUCGGAAACUUGUCUCAGUUUCACAGCUGGUGGUUUGAAACUUGAAGGUUUUGUAGAUGCUGAUUUAGCAGGAGAUGUUGAUAGCAGAAAGAGCACUACAGGAUAUGUUUAUACUCUAGGAGGUACUGCUGUUUCCUGGAGUUCUACCUUGCAAAAGAUCGUUGCUCUUUCAACAACAGAAGCUGAAUAUGUUGCAGUCUCAGAAUCUGCAAAAGAGAUAGUAUGGUUGCAGAGUUUCCUGAAGGAAUUGGGCAAGUUGAAUGGAAAAGGUACUUUGUAUAGCGACAGUCAAAGUGCAAUCUUCCUUGCCAAGAAUCCAGCAUUUCACUCCAGGACGAAGCAUAUUCAGAUCAAAUAUCACUUCAUCCGACAAUUGCUAGACGAUGAACAACUGAUGCUAGAAAAGGUCUGCGGAAGCAAGAAUCCAGCUGACAUGUUAACCAAAGGAGUUACACUUGAUAAACUGAAGUUGUGUAAAACUUCAGUUGGUCUUCAAGGAUAAAUGAUGAUUUCAUUGUUUGUCUCCAAGUGGGAGAUUGUUAGUUAGUGGAGACAAACAAUGUCCCACCAUAUGCAAGUGGGAAUACCUAAUCUCCCACUUGGCACAUGGUGGAGGACACAAAGUGGAGGCAACGGUGGGCAUCAAUCAUGCCCCUUCAAUCAUCAAUUGUAUAUGUAUAGCUGUGUGUGUAUGAAGAACAUAGAGAGAGUAGCGUGAGAAACACAGAGAGAAGAGAGAACAGAGAAGAAUAGAGAGAGCUUGAGAGAGUAGAGUUGAGUUGAGAGAGUUUUAUCUCCUCCUCCUUUGUUUGUAUUGUUUGUAAGCUUCAUUAAUACAAACCAGUAGCUCCGUGGAGUAGGCAAGUUGCCGAACCACGUAAAUUGUGUGUGAUUGAGUUCUGGAAUUACCCAACAAAAGAUACAUAAAAAGGCAAGGGUGAAAGUUGGAAACUGCUUUUUCUUUGUUAAUAAAACUACUUGAUAUCAUUCUUUGGAU